GACGAACGCUGGCGGCGUGCUUAACACAUGCAAGUCGAACGGAAAGGCCCUGCUUUUGUGGGGUGCUCGAGUGGCGAACGGGUGAGUAACACGUGAGUAACCUGCCCUUGACUUUGGGAUAACUUCAGGAAACUGGGGCUAAUACCGGAUAGGAGCUCCUGCUGCAUGGUGGGGGUUGGAAAGUUUCGGCGGUUGGGGAUGGACUCGCGGCUUAUCAGCUUGUUGGUGGGGUAGUGGCUUACCAAGGCUUUGACGGGUAGCCGGCCUGAGAGGGUGACCGGCCACAGUGGGACAGAGAUACGGCCCAGACUCCUACGGGAGGCAGCAGUGGGGAAGAGUGCACAAGGGGCGGAAGCCGGAUGCAGCAACGCCGCGUGCGGGAGGACGGCCGUCGGGGUGGAAACCGCGGUCGCCGGGGACGAAGCGUGAGUGACGGUAAUGGGUAAAGAAGCACCGGCUAACUACGUG
RNAcentral lists this ribosomal RNA (468 nucleotides) under uncultured bacterium. RNAcentral's name for it is "partial 16S ribosomal RNA". It matches the Rfam family "Bacterial small subunit ribosomal RNA", at positions 28 to 507 of the family's 1533-position model. The record is from RNAcentral.